UACGUAGGGGGCAAGCGUUGUCCGGAUUUAUUGGGCGUAAAGAGCUCGUAGGCGGUUGGGCAAGUCACGUGUGAAAUCUCCACGCUCAACGUGGAGGCGCCACGUGAGACUGCCCUGACUCGAGUCCGGUAGGGGAGCGUGGAAUUCCCGGUGUAGCGGUGGAAUGCGCAGAUAUCAGGAGGAACACCAAUAGCGAAGGCAGCUCGCUGGGACGGUACUGACGCUAAGGCGCGAAAGCGUGGGGAGCGAACAGG
This 254-nucleotide ribosomal RNA is filed under the name uncultured bacterium. RNAcentral describes it as "partial 16S ribosomal RNA". It matches the Rfam family "Bacterial small subunit ribosomal RNA", at positions 524 to 776 of the family's 1533-position model. The record is from RNAcentral.